GACCAGGGGCAGGGAGGUGGGAGAAAUGGAGAGAUGUUGGUCAAGGGGUACAAAGUCGCAGUUAUGUAGCAAGAACAAGUUCUGAGGAUCUAAAGUACAACUUAGUGACUAUAGUCAAUAAUACUGUAUUGUAUACUGGAAAUUUGCUAAGAGAGUAGAUUUCGGGUGCUCUCACCACACACAUGCAGACACAUACACUCACUCAAAGAUGAUUACUAUGUAGAGAGAUGGGUAUGUUAACUAGCUUGAUUUUAGUAAUCAUUUCACUAUGUAUGCGUAUACCAAACACGUACACCUUAAAUAUGUACAAUUUUUAUUUUAAAAAAAAGAACCAGUCAUGACUUAUUAGCACAGCCAACUUGGCAGUCACUAUGUGAUUCCAUUUUGUAAGCUAUGAAAUCGUUUCUUUGCAAUCUCUCUUUAAAAUUGCUCCAUUGCUCUGAUGCAGCAAAGAGGCAAGACAAAAAUUAUUGCUUUCCAGUGGACUCAUGCCCGUAAAAACAAACCCAAGUGUACUGCUGCUAAAAAGAAGCCCGUCUGCCACGCUUCCUAUUUAUUUGGCUUUGGAGAAUUGGACAGGGCAGAGCUGAGGAAGGCGAGAUACACGGCACUGAGUCAUCACCUGACAUGGUUCUCAUCGCCGGGAGCCUCCUGCAGGCCUGGCGGCUAACAGCUAACUCUCACGACUUCCCCCUCAGUUCACUUCUCCACAGAGCAAGACGUUGUGCUCACUUCCUCAUUACGAUUCCUGCCAACAAAGUUCAUUUCUUGUUUAAGAUAGAAACAAAACAAAAACAGCCUUGAAUGCACACUCUUACUUUGGUUCCUGGCAUCAAAUCUGACUUUCCGUAAGAGGGAUCUGUCGUGUUUGCCUGAUCAGUCCCUCUUUCCACCUUUCUCUACAGGGACAGCCGUCUCACCACCUUCCCUUAGAGAUCUGUUCCUCCCCCUAAAGGCCCUGGGGUUGAUUCCAGUGGGGCUGCCAACCACAGAUUCCUGAGCCCUGGCCACAAGAGGAUGAUGCAACCUAAGCCUGAGCCGUCAUAGAGCCCCACCCCCAGCCUGGAGCCUGAAUGAGGGGACUGAUCAAAGCUGGGCCAAUCAGCUGGGACUUCUACACAGGAAAGCAGGGGAGGGGAGAGAAGCCUUCUCAUUGCCUGGGCACAGCUGAGCUGAAUAAUAUAAGCCAGGAGCUUCUGGUGGCCAUGCCUCCUGUGCCUGUCCUCGCAAGGAUGAAGUCAUCCCCAGUAAGAGAAAAUGAGGCCUGAGCACAGAGAAAAGUCAAGACGAAUGACGGAGGCAAAGGGAUGGGAGUAGGAAGGUAACAGGAUGUGCGAUGGGACUGUUCCUGUUGUCCGGGAAUUCCAGCUAAAGCCCAGAGGCGAGGACAAAGAGGCUCUAAGCCAAGAAGCACACCACCUGCUGAAGCGAGCUGCCCACCAUGGCACACGCUGCCUACCCGGGCUCACCAAAAGGUGACCUGCUGUCCCCAUCGCUCCUUCCUAAUCUGUACGAGAUGACUGGGAAGGAGAAAAAGGGGAGACGGAGGCAGAAUCAUCUGUCCUGCGGGGAGGGCAGUGUUUGUGGUGAGAGGUGACCUCCCCCUAAGCCAAAUACUGGGACACUCUGGGGGUUCUGCCCAGAGAGGGGGCCCUGAGGGAAGGGGAGACUGGCCUGCUGUUCCCUGGUUGGCUAUUAUUUUCUAAUGUGCCCUUGGACUUACCGAAGGAAGGUGGAGGAGAAUGGGCACUGUUUCAGGAUGGGAAUGGGGCAAAGGGAGAGCUCCCUGCACUCCUACUGUUGCCCUGACAAGAAGGGAAGAAUUUCCAUUCGGGCUAAGUGGACAUCGUGGACGGUAGCUGGGCUUGGGCCCACAGGUCCUCCAGAGGACUCACCAGCAUUUGAAUAUCUGCCUCAGAGGGGGAGUCAGUCACUGUGAGCCCAAAACACAGUAACAGCGGGCCUAGAAAGGACGGCAGCUGUGGCCAGGUGGGUAAAGAUGCUCUCGUCCAGUUUCCUCUCCUUCUGCCCAGCCCAAACACACCAGUGAGCUUUGAAGCCAGAUACCCGAGGGUUACCAUAGAAAUGUGGAUGAAGACAGUGGGGACUGAAGUCAGGUUUCUGAGGGUUACUGUAGAUAUUCAAUAUGAACAUGAUUGCCUUUCACAAUUUGCUAUUUUCUUGUUUGAGCUGAGGGGUGACUCAGGGGUCAUGAGGACCUGUGAGCCUGUUUUGCUGAAGAGAGAACGCCUUCAGGGAUGUUGUGAUGACAGGACGAUCAGCCCCCCAGUGGCUGUUGACGCCCAGAAGUCAGAUUGCCCAGGAGCUUCUCUACAGUGAAAGAAAUACGGACUUACCCUUCGUUUCUCCAAAACUCCUCCUGCCAAGCCCCUUGGCUCUGUAAAACGCCCUGCUUUCUUCUCUGGUUAAGGCAGAUUUAAGAGAACCUCUCCUCCCGCCUUCUUGUUUCGGUGAAUUCAAAUAAACCUUUCUCCGUCUCCACGCAGGGAUGGCUCAGCGACUGACCUACUGCGCGUGGGUGUGUGAACUGGAGACUAAGAGGUUCCCUAUGGAGCGGGGCCUUGAAGAAGGGAGGGAGGGAUAGCUCAGAACCUGAUCACGCUCCUUCCCCAGCUUCAUUGCUAGCAGUCAGGAUUCCAGUUCAAGACCGCUCCAUGUGAGGGCAGGGGAAAAGGGAGAAGAGAUUUUAAUCAUUUGAGAUUGAAGUCUAAAAGUAGACUGGACCUUUAAGAACCAGGAAGGGGAGUCUUCCUGUGUCUGGCCGGCCCUGUCUGCCCCCAGGGAGCAUUUCCCACCCCCAACUCUGCCCUGCAGUGGGGUGGGGCCAGAUCCCCGCAGGCUGUGCUGCCCAGGCCCACAGGCCUGAGUACCUGGCUUCUGGCUCCUUUGGUAGGUGAGGGACUGGCAAGCAGGAGGAAGGGAGGAGUCAGGCAUUUUCCUUCCAUCCUCUCUGCCUCCAGUGCAGUUGCUGGCUGCCGGCUCUUCUUCUCUUCUGCCUCCAGGCUCAGCGCGGUCCAGCUUUUGCUGUUUGAGCCUCGCCUCCGGGCUGUGGGAACACGUCUUCCUCCAUUUGCCCCUCUGUUGAUAAUAUCUGGAUAGUCUUACUGUGCCCUGUUCAGCUUCUCAGCUUUUCCAUCACUUGUGUAACUUAUCAUCUGCAUCAAAUUCCCUCUGUUUCAAAUACUUAAAGUGCUUUUUGUCUUUUGAGCGGACCUUAACUCAUCUUUUUCCCCAGAGGUUUAUAAGGGUCUAUGCUGUAAAGGACGCUGCUAUAAAUAUCGCAGGGUCGGGGAUAGCAUUUGUAAGAAAUCAAAUAGUUUUAUAUUAAUAUCUUCAUCAAGACAUCUCAAUAGACUAGUUACAAACACCCCAACUCAAAUGUCAUCUCUUCAGAAGGGUAUCUCAGCAUCCCUCACCCCAGUGGCAUCCCAUUACCUUAUUUUGUGUUUUUUAAAGCCGUUUUCAGUACCUGAAUUCAUCUUAUCUAUUUAUUUGUGUCCAUGUGUAUUAUCUCCCUCCCCUCCCACUGGAAGAUAAGAUCCUUGAGGCCAGUAACUCUUGCUGUAUCCCUAUGCGCUCAAUAAUUAAUAACUGACCGGCCAGCAUCAGGACCUGGUGAAAUGGAGUGUGCGCCAUCCUGAGACGCUCCACCAGCAGCAGCGGGAUGUGAUAGUUGUACGUCUCUUGGUUGUCAAAUCUUGAGGGGGUGAGAGCGUUUUUAUUGUAUGUAAGUUAAAGCAUUCUUGGAAUUGUAUACAUGGGAGAGAGAGAGAGGAAAAGAGAUACAAGAGAGAGAGAGACACAGAGAGAGACAGCGUCUAAUACCCACAAGGGGGAAUGUAAUGGGCAGGUUUUAUUUUCACUUGCCAAUUUACCAUUUUUUCCUUCUGUAGCAUCCUCCUUUUUUUGAGGAAUUGCUCCUAUCCCACCCAUAAAAAUAGCUAAGAAUGCAGAAUUUGUGGAGAGGAUCAAAGAUAUUAAGAUGUCACAUUUACUGUUGCUGCCAUGACCGAAGCCGAAAAGCAGCACAGAACCGUGCGGAGGGUGGGCCCUGACUUGGACCUGCCUCUAAGGAGGGGUGAGCCUGGACUGCUGAGUGGGGGUGUAGGAGCUGCCUCUGCGUCUGCACCUUUAGCAGCCCUCUAGCCCAUCUCUGGCUUCAGCCACGGCUGUGGUAGGCAGUUCCACUCUGCUUUUGCUGCUGGUAUUCCACCUGCAGACUCAUGCCACCUGUCUUUCUCCAUUCCACGCUCAGACCUUCUCCCAAUGCCCGGAAGCUUUCUGGGCUGGCUUGCAAGCCCAGCUCAGAAAUGCAGAGGAGUUAAUACCCUAUAGGCAACCCUCAACCAACACAGAACGGUGGCUGAUGGACAAAUGCUCCAGCCUCCAGUCCAACAGGUGGAGACUUUCGGGAGAUAUUCUGCACGCUUCUCAGAGGUCCUGGUGGAAUUGAACUCCCACCGCUGACAGUAGUGACCUCAACAAUGCAUCCAUAGAUGAACUCUCCCCUUCUCUGUCUCACUCCCCCUGUCCCUUCACUCCUGCUUCCUGGGAUCACCUGUACCAAGUCUUGUCUCAGGCUCUGCUUUGGGGGACACUACAGUCUGGGAAAUGUUUGAUGUGGACAGAAGCAGGACUAAUGGUGGAACUUCUAAGUUAGCCUCCCUCCUGCAUGUGGGAUGCCUUGAAGAAAGCUGCAGCGUAGAUGAAAAGGAAACGCUAUACCAUCUAACAGCUGGGACACCGGAGACCAGGCGGUUCUGCUGCAGGCCCCAUAACCACCGAGGACACUAUGAGAAGCAGCGCCCUUCCUCGAGCUCUGAGAAAGCACCCCUGCUUGGACCGACUGAGACCUGUGUCAGCGAAAGCUGGGGCGGUGUGGGUGACAGGACUACCAGAACAGGGUGAUCCUGUCAGAGCCCCUCUCUUCAGGACUGCCAUGCCUUCAGCACAGCUCUCAGCAGCACCAGCUCUCCACUAACAGCCAAUGGAGCGCCGACCAACACCUGGCAAGUGAAUCUGGCUGCAGGGACAUCCCUAAGGUCCCCUCCCCCAGCAGGUGUCCACAGAGCAACACUGAGUAGGACUGAUUCCUGGGCAAAUGUAAGCAACCCUGGAAUAUUUGAAGGUAGAAUUAUUGAAAAAUAUUUGACGAAGAAAAGGAUUGAACUUUGUGCUAAUUUCACACCUAGCAGAUCAGAGCUGUAAUUGAGGCUUAAAAAGAAACACGAACGCACUUUAUCAUCACAAGUUGGUAAAGUCAGGAAUGUACUUUACAACCACUUUAUCAACAUUUAGUCAAACAUUUCCCAAAACUCAUUCAUUUGCCUAGUAUCUAACAAUUUACUAUCUGUACUAUUCGUUACUUAAUAUUUUUCUUUAAACCAAAACACUUUUUCAAACUUAAAUAUCCACUUAAGCUUCAUAUUGAAUGAAAAUAAAUGUGGAAUUAUG
Molecule: non-coding RNA, 5475 nt
Organism: Equus caballus (horse)
Lineage: Eukaryota; Metazoa; Chordata; Mammalia; Perissodactyla; Equidae
Source: RefSeq, a predicted model, not a curated record